This 492-nucleotide ribosomal RNA is filed under the name uncultured bacterium. Its description in RNAcentral is "partial 16S ribosomal RNA". It matches the Rfam family "Bacterial small subunit ribosomal RNA", at positions 29 to 507 of the family's 1533-position model. The record is from RNAcentral.
AGUGAACGCUGGCGGUAGGCCUUACACAUGCAAGUCGAACGGCAGCACAGUAAGCGCUUGCUCUUACGAGUGGCGAGUGGCGGACGGGUGCGGAAUACAUCGGAAUCUACUUUUUCGUGGGGGAUAACGUAGGGCCACUUACGCUCAUACCGCAUACGCCCUACGGGUGAAAGCCGCGGAUCUUCGGACCUUGCGCUAUUGAAUGAGCCGAUGUCGGAUUAGCUAGUUGGCGGGGUAAAGGCCCACCAAGGCGACGAUCCGUAGCUGGUCUGAGAGGAUGAGCAGCCACACUGGAACUGAGACACGGUCCAGACUCCUACGGGAGGCAGCAGUGGGGAAUAUUGGACAAUGGGCGCAAGCCUGAUCCAGCCAUACCGCGUGGGGGAAGAAGGCCCUCGGGUUGUAAAGCGCUUUUGUUAGGGAAGAAAAGCAGCAGGUUAAUACCCCGCUGUUCUGACGGUACCCAAAGAAUAAGCACCGGCUAACUUCGUG